UGGGGAAUAUUGCACAAUGGGCGAAAGCCUGAUGCAGCAACGCCGCGUGAGUGAUGAAGGUCUUCGGAUUGUAAAGCUCUGUCUUUUGGGACGAUAAUGACGGUACCAAAGGAGGAAGCCACGGCUAACUACGUGCCAGCAGCCGCGGUAAUACGUAGGUGGCGAGCGUUGUCCGGAUUUACUGGGCGUAAAGGGUGCGUAGGCGGAUGUUUAAGUGAGAUGUGAAAUACCCGGGCUUAACUUGGGUGCU
Molecule: ribosomal RNA, 250 nt
Filed under: uncultured bacterium
Lineage: Bacteria
Description: partial 16S ribosomal RNA
Rfam family: Bacterial small subunit ribosomal RNA
Source: RNAcentral